This 56-nucleotide transfer RNA is filed under the name Camelus bactrianus (Bactrian camel). It matches the Rfam family "tRNA", at positions 9 to 63 of the family's 71-position model. Rfam says of the family: Transfer RNA (tRNA) molecules are approximately 80 nucleotides in length. Their secondary structure includes four short double-helical elements and three loops (D, anti-codon, and T loops). Lineage: Eukaryota; Metazoa; Chordata; Mammalia; Artiodactyla; Camelidae. The record is from Rfam by way of RNAcentral. RNAcentral also lists the same sequence under 2 other names.
AGCUCAGUGGUAGAGUGUGUGCUUAGCAUGCACAAGGUCCUGGGUUCAAUCCCCAG